UCCUACGGGAGGCAGCAGUAGGGAAUCUUCCGCAAUGGACGAAAGUCUGACGGAGCAACGCCGCGUGAGUGAUGAAGGUUUUCGGAUCGUAAAACUCUGUUGUUAGGGAAGAACAAGUUGGGUAGUAACUGACCCAACCUUGACGGUACCUAACCAGAAAGCCACGGCUAACUACGUGCCAGCAGCCGCGGUAAUACGUAGGUGGCAAGCGUUGUCCGGAAUUAUUGGGCGUAAAGCGCUCGCAGGCGGUCUUUUAAGUCUGAUGUGAAAGCCCACGGCUUAACCGUGGAGGGUCAUUGGAAACUGGAGGACUUGAGUACAGAAGAGGAGAGUGGAAUUCCACGUGUAGCGGUGAAAUGCGUAGAGAUGUGGAGGAACACCAGUGGCGAAGGCGACUCUCUGGUCUGUAACUGACGCUGAGGAGCGAAAGCGUGGGUAGCGAACAGGAUUAGAUACCCUGGUAGUCCACGCCCUAAACGAUGCUUACUCGAUGUGUGGUUCGUAGAAUUGCGCAUCCAAGCGAAAGCGUUAAGUAAGCCACCUGGGGAGUACGUCGGCAACGAUGAAACUCAAAGGAA
This 578-nucleotide ribosomal RNA is filed under the name uncultured bacterium. Its description in RNAcentral is "bacterial SSU rRNA". It matches the Rfam family "Bacterial small subunit ribosomal RNA", at positions 337 to 909 of the family's 1533-position model. The record is from RNAcentral.